UUAAUACUUGUUUCACAGAAUGCAGCCUUAGACAGAGACAGCCUAAGAUUAAUUCCCUUUGUUUUGUUUGUUUUUCAGUAUUUUGUGUACGAGUGAAAGUCUUCUUGGAUAAUUAAGACUGUGUCUAAAAUCACAGUUACAGUAUGCUGAUCUAUAAGGAAACUCAGGUCUAAGGGACAGGCCCAUCCCAGAGGAGGCCCCAUCCUCGUUCAUGGCACACGUCUUUGUCCCCUGCUCUGAGCUGCCUUCAGAGGACACCAACUGCUCUCCACUGUCUGCCCAGGGAGUUGAAAAGGAGAAGCCUCUCAAGCCAGGUCAGGAGUGACGUUUUGUGGCACGUGAUUACUGAACAUCCAUCUGUGUAUUUCUGUGAGGAAACUUCACUGGGACAAUAUAAACAUCUGCUUAAAGCUCAAGUAUUGUAUCAAACAAGGACAACAGCAGCACACCUUGGAAGAGGCAGUCAGAGAGCCAGUCCCUCACUGCUGCUGCUGCAGAUGGAGUCACAGCAAUGCAGAUGCUACAAGAGGCUCAGCAACUGCACAGGGAUUUACAAAGCCACGAGUGAAGAUGAGGAUAAACUGCUCGCACGGCACAGGACGGGUUUGCGAGUGGAAAAAAAGGACCUGCAGCAGGGACCAGCAGUGGUGGAAGUGCUCAGUUUGAAGACCACAAGCCAGGCUGCAAAAUGAAUUUCUCAGUUAUAUCUGUCAGUCUUAGCCUUAGGAACAUCCUGAGUAAGGAAUUCCAUGACUUUUUCUAUUUGCUUAUUUUU
Long non-coding RNA from Empidonax traillii (willow flycatcher), 775 nucleotides. RefSeq lists it as uncharacterized. The transcript has 5 exons. NCBI's taxonomy places the organism in Eukaryota, Metazoa, Chordata, Aves, Passeriformes, Tyrannidae. The record is from RefSeq and is a predicted model, not a curated record.